UACAGAGGGGGCAAGCGUUGUUCGGAAUUACUGGGCGUAAAGGGCGCGUAGGCGGCCCGCUAAGUCGAACGUGAAAUCCCCGAGCUCAACUCGGGAACUGCGUCCGAUACUGGCGGGCUUGAAUCCGGGAGAGGGAUGCGGAAUUCCCGGUGUAGAGGUGAAAUUCGUAGAUAUCGGGAGGAACACCAGUGGCGAAGGCGGCGACCUGGACCGAUACUGACGCUGAGACACGAAAGCGUGGGGAGCAAACAGG
RNAcentral lists this ribosomal RNA (253 nucleotides) under uncultured bacterium. RNAcentral describes it as "partial 16S ribosomal RNA". It matches the Rfam family "Bacterial small subunit ribosomal RNA", at positions 524 to 776 of the family's 1533-position model. The record is from RNAcentral.